AGAGAUGCCUGCUCUGUCUCUCUCUACGUCCCUCACUGGUUCAAUGGAGCCUGCUCCACAAAAGUCACACUGGUGUGUCAGGCUGAGGGACCCUAGUUCUUACCGAAGUGUAAGAUAGGUUAUGGAGUUCCUGUGAAGGACCCUAAGGGCUUUUCGCCAGCUUUACACCCACCACCUCGGGUCAAGAUUAGGCCAAGUACCAUUCUCCACCCACAGUUCUCGGGAGGAGCAGGGACAUUCUUGAAAAACCACAGAAUGUACUGACCGAUAGUCACCUGACCCUCUGGUCCCAGAUAGAGUUCAAAUGUAUGUCAUGUGCUUGCUAGCCUAUAGAUUCAAAGGUCAAUGUGCUUAGCCAAUCAGUUUAAACUGUAACCUUGCUGAUGCAACCUGUACCCCUAAAAAGUAUAAGAGCUGCUUGUUAUAGCCACUUGGGGUCACCUUCUAGUCACUAGCCACAAAGGACUGAUUGAAAGUCGACUCUGACACGUCGGAAAAUAAACCUCUUGUGUUUGCAUCGAACUCCGUUCUCGUGUCUCACUUGGGGGAGUCUCCUGGUAGUUAAGACUUACUUCCAGUCUUACAAGGAAGCCUCCCUAUGCCCUCCUGGGUGCCCAUCGCGUUGAAAAGGAAGUCUCUUCACUGUGAUUUGGGGCAUCUCCCCGACAAGCCUUUCACCCUUUGGGGACAUCCUGGGUUACACUGUGCCCCACAUCAUACCCCUUCUCUUCCCAGGGCUCCAUCUAGGCUUUUUACCCCUACUUCAAAUGAAUCAUGGGCUUUUCCCAUUCAAAAUUAGACUUAUAGUCUUCUCCCACCUGCCUUCUUAAAUAUUUUGCCCUCCUCAAACUCCAAUAACAUUGAGUCUCACUGUCUGGUUUCUCACUGUAUUAUGGCUUGGCCUUGGUAUAAGCUUGAUAUUCAGUCUUAAUGGCCAAGAAAUGGGACAUUGAUUUCCCAAUCUUCACAUACUGUGACAACUUCUACCACAGCACAAGCAAACGAACUAAAAAUCUCUUAUCUCUAAGCUCUGCUCACUCUCCUCUCCUAAAACUCCCUUAUGACUAAGCUUUCUUUACUGUCUUGUCCCCCCACUCAGAUUUCUGGGUUCAGUCUUACAGAGAUCCAAAUGUCUUUGGGGACUUAGUAAUGUUGGGGAAAUGGUCAUGUGAGGUUUUACUCUACUAAAAAGCUGGCCCUGGAAAUGGGAUUUGGCCUGCCUACAUGACCCAAGCAUGUUUGGCUAAAGCAGUGGUUCUCAGCCUUACUAAUGCUGUGACCCUUUAAUACAGUUCCUCAUGUUGUGGUGACCCACAACCAUAAAAUUAUUUUUGUUGUUACUUCAUAACUGUAAUUUUGUUCCUGUUAUGAAUCACAAUGGAAAUAUUUUUGGAGAUAGGGGUUUGUCAAAGGGGUUACAAGAACCACUGGUCUAAAGGUUUUAUCCAAAACCUCUGUUUUGAGUCAGGCUGGCCACCUGAGUCUGUGAUAGGGAGAAAGAGAACAAAACCGAAUUGCCCAGGAAAAGACACUGUGCUUAAGAACAGCUAAGAGGCCAUCUCUCCAGAGCUAAGCAAAAUGAAUGUGAAAUUUGAUGACAGACUGAGGAUCAUUGCAGUCCCCAAAGAAGACACAUGAAUGGCCAAAGAUUUGCAUUUCGUCAUUAAGUCUCAGAAGCAGCUUUGCGAAGUCGGCAGCAGGAAGGGAAGGAGAUGUUCUGGAUGGUUCUGUCUCCAAAGGCCCACCAAGGAACAGAAAACAAGGUCUAUCCUAUGUAAGAGAGGGAGCCAGGAUGAGAACCUGCUUCAGCUGGUGUCCUUAGAGGAUCACACCUACAGGGAAAAUGUCCUGUCCCACAGUUACCUGGCAACAGCCAGGUGUGCCUGACUCACUAUAAAAGGGGCUGCAUGUCCCCUCCUCUCUCUUGCUCUCUUCUCUUUUCUUUUGGGCCCAGCCUCCACGCCUGUGGGAUGAGUUGCUCCGCUAGCUUGUUGCCCAAAGCUGUAGCACACAAUGUAGCAGCUGUGGUUAAAAUGGCCGAAUAAUAAAGUCCUGAGUCAUUUCUA
Molecule: long non-coding RNA, 2066 nt
Organism: Rattus norvegicus (Norway rat)
Lineage: Eukaryota; Metazoa; Chordata; Mammalia; Rodentia; Muridae
Source: RefSeq, a predicted model, not a curated record